GCUUCUUUCCCCAGACCUGUUGGUGUGCAUUACAGAGAAACCUCCAGGCUUUUCUGUGGGAAAGAGC
Podarcis lilfordi (Lilford's wall lizard) is the source of this 67-nucleotide non-coding RNA. The record is from the annotation of a GenBank genome assembly. Lineage: Eukaryota; Metazoa; Chordata; Lepidosauria; Squamata; Lacertidae.